Non-coding RNA from Mycena galopus ATCC 62051, 83 nucleotides. NCBI's taxonomy places the organism in Eukaryota, Fungi, Basidiomycota, Agaricomycetes, Agaricales, Mycenaceae. The record is from the annotation of a GenBank genome assembly.
GCGCUAUGGUUGAGUGGUUAGCUUCCUCCUGCCAUGUUGAACGGCAUUUGCGGCGGUCCAUGGUUCGAUUCCCAGUGUGUGCU